RNAcentral lists this ribosomal RNA (439 nucleotides) under uncultured bacterium. Its description in RNAcentral is "bacterial SSU rRNA". It matches the Rfam family "Bacterial small subunit ribosomal RNA", at positions 954 to 1392 of the family's 1533-position model. The record is from RNAcentral.
GCACAACGCGAAGAACCUUACCCACCUUUGACAUGGCAGGAACUUACCAGAGAUGGUUUGGUGCUCGAAAGAGAACCUGCACACAGGUGCUGCAUGGCUGUCGUCAGCUCGUGUCGUGAGAUGUUGGGUUAAGUCCCGCAACGAGCGCAACCCUUGCCAUUAGUUGCUACAUUCAGUUGAGCACUCUAAUGGGACUGCCGGUGACAAACCGGAGGAAGGUGGGGAUGACGUCAAGUCCUCAUGGCCCUUAUAGGUGGGGCUACACACGUCAUACAAUGGCUGGUACAAAGGGUUGCCAACCCGCGAGGGGGAGCUAAUCCCAUAAAGCCAGUCGUAGUCCGGAUCGCAGUCUGCAACUCGACUGCGUGAAGUCGGAAUCGCUAGUAAUCGCGGAUCAGCAUUGCUGCGGUGAAUACGUUCCCGGGUCUUGUACACACCG